UCCCAUUGCUAGGGGUCUGUAUUUUAACCAGAAUACAGUGAGACACACCCUUUGAACCUGAUGCGGAUCAUACCGCCGUAGGGAAGCACUUAACAUGCUUC
This 101-nucleotide non-coding RNA is filed under the name Methylotenera sp. RNAcentral's name for it is "TPP sequence". It matches the Rfam family "TPP riboswitch aptamer (THI element)". Rfam says of the family: Vitamin B(1) in its active form thiamin pyrophosphate (TPP) is an essential coenzyme that is synthesised by coupling of pyrimidine and thiazole moieties in bacteria. The previously detected thiamin-regulatory element, thi box was extended, resulting in a new, highly conserved RNA secondary structure, the THI element, which is widely distributed in eubacteria and also occurs in some archaea. Analysis of operon structures identified a large number of new candidate thiamin-regulated genes, mostly transporters, in various prokaryotic organisms. The record is from RNAcentral. Lineage: Bacteria; Pseudomonadati; Pseudomonadota; Betaproteobacteria; Nitrosomonadales; Methylophilaceae.